GCCAGAUCCAAUGGCGGAGGCAGUGGACGCCUUCCUGCAAGACUGGAGCGGAGGCCUCCUAUAUGCCUUUCCCCCAUUCUCCAUGAUCCCGUGCUCACUCCUGCAGACCCGCAAACACCGGUCAGAAGUGGUCAUGGUGACUCCCUUUUGGGAAACGCAGUCGUGGUUUCCCCAAAUGCUCGAGAUGACGAUGGACUAUCCCCGACUACUGCCAG
Molecule: non-coding RNA, 215 nt
Organism: Pelobates cultripes (western spadefoot toad)
Lineage: Eukaryota; Metazoa; Chordata; Amphibia; Anura; Pelobatidae
Source: the annotation of a GenBank genome assembly